This 236-nucleotide unclassified non-coding RNA is filed under the name plant metagenome. RNAcentral describes it as "partial contains small subunit ribosomal RNA, internal transcribed spacer 1, and 5.8S ribosomal RNA". The record is from RNAcentral.
UUUCCGUAGGUGAACCUGCGGAAGGAUCAUUACUGAGUGAGGGCCCCUCGGGUUUCAACCUCCCACCCGUUUUUAACGAACCUUUUUGCUUCGUCGGGCCCGCCUCACGGUCGCCGUGGGGCAUCUUCCCCCGUGCCCGCGCCCGCCUAAGCCACCUGUUACCGCUGUCUGAAGUAUGCAGUCUGAGACUAUUAUUAAAUUAAUUAAAACUUUCAACAACGGAUCUCUUGGUUCCG